RNAcentral lists this ribosomal RNA (1401 nucleotides) under Lactiplantibacillus plantarum. RNAcentral describes it as "bacterial SSU rRNA". It matches the Rfam family "Bacterial small subunit ribosomal RNA", at positions 62 to 1439 of the family's 1533-position model. The record is from RNAcentral. Lineage: Bacteria; Bacillati; Bacillota; Bacilli; Lactobacillales; Lactobacillaceae.
UCUGGUAUUGAUUGGUGCUUGCAUCAUGAUUUACAUUUGAGUGAGUGGCGAACUGGUGAGUAACACGUGGGAAACCUGCCCAGAAGCGGGGGAUAACACCUGGAAACAGAUGCUAAUACCGCAUAACAACUUGGACCGCAUGGUCCGAGUUUGAAAGAUGGCUUCGGCUAUCACUUUUGGAUGGUCCCGCGGCGUAUUAGCUAGAUGGUGAGGUAACGGCUCACCAUGGCAAUGAUACGUAGCCGACCUGAGAGGGUAAUCGGCCACAUUGGGACUGAGACACGGCCCAAACUCCUACGGGAGGCAGCAGUAGGGAAUCUUCCACAAUGGACGAAAGUCUGAUGGAGCAACGCCGCGUGAGUGAAGAAGGGUUUCGGCUCGUAAAACUCUGUUGUUAAAGAAGAACAUAUCUGAGAGUAACUGUUCAGGUAUUGACGGUAUUUAACCAGAAAGCCACGGCUAACUACGUGCCAGCAGCCGCGGUAAUACGUAGGUGGCAAGCGUUGUCCGGAUUUAUUGGGCGUAAAGCGAGCGCAGGCGGUUUUUUAAGUCUGAUGUGAAAGCCUUCGGCUCAACCGAAGAAGUGCAUCGGAAACUGGGAAACUUGAGUGCAGAAGAGGACAGUGGAACUCCAUGUGUAGCGGUGAAAUGCGUAGAUAUAUGGAAGAACACCAGUGGCGAAGGCGGCUGUCUGGUCUGUAACUGACGCUGAGGCUCGAAAGUAUGGGUAGCAAACAGGAUUAGAUACCCUGGUAGUCCAUACCGUAAACGAUGAAUGCUAAGUGUUGGAGGGUUUCCGCCCUUCAGUGCUGCAGCUAACGCAUUAAGCAUUCCGCCUGGGGAGUACGGCCGCAAGGCUGAAACUCAAAGGAAUUGACGGGGGCCCGCACAAGCGGUGGAGCAUGUGGUUUAAUUCGAAGCUACGCGAAGAACCUUACCAGGUCUUGACAUACUAUGCAAAUCUAAGAGAUUAGACGUUCCCUUCGGGGACAUGGAUACAGGUGGUGCAUGGUUGUCGUCAGCUCGUGUCGUGAGAUGUUGGGUUAAGUCCCGCAACGAGCGCAACCCUUAUUAUCAGUUGCCAGCAUUAAGUUGGGCACUCUGGUGAGACUGCCGGUGACAAACCGGAGGAAGGUGGGGAUGACGUCAAAUCAUCAUGCCCCUUAUGACCUGGGCUACACACGUGCUACAAUGGAUGGUACAACGAGUUGCGAACUCGCGAGAGUAAGCUAAUCUCUUAAAGCCAUUCUCAGUUCGGAUUGUAGGCUGCAACUCGCCUACAUGAAGUCGGAAUCGCUAGUAAUCGCGGAUCAGCAUGCCGCGGUGAAUACGUUCCCGGGCCUUGUACACACCGCCCGUCACACCAUGAGAGUUUGUAACACCCAAAGUCGGUGGGGUAAC